Molecule: long non-coding RNA, 3468 nt
Organism: Dicentrarchus labrax (European seabass)
Lineage: Eukaryota; Metazoa; Chordata; Actinopteri; Moronidae
Exons: 3
Source: RefSeq, a predicted model, not a curated record
CACUAUCAGCCCUGUCAAUCAAAGGCAGGCUGUUUAAACAGCAUACACCCCCUCCCACCACCACCACCACCACCACCACCCAGGACUAUCUCUUAUAAGCCUCCACCAUCAGAGCUGCCUCCCCUCCACUCCCUGUAAUAGCAGCACCACCCUGCCACACACACACACACACACACACACAGACACACAGGGCAGAACUGCUGUGUCCAUCAUCGAUCAUACUCCCCCAGAAACCCACCCCAGGGGUGGGAGGGCUUACCAGCUGAUGGAGGACCCCUGUGUGCUGCCCAACCAGGUGCCUGAUCACAAAGUCAAAACACUACUAAGCCCUGGUGUUAGCAGACUGAAGAGCUCGCUGUUUCUCACACACACACACACACACACACACACACACACACACACACAGAGCAGAUAAGCCAGCAGGAGGGUUAAACCCUGGAUGAUUAGACAAAUGUUGGGCAGAUAUCUGUGGCUUCAGAUGCGAGCUGAGCUGCUGUCAACGAGGAAUGCAUCAACAUGGGCACCUGCCUCUGACUGAGCAGCCUCUAGACAACAAAAAGCCGGAGAACAAAACUGCAAUCAAGACCGCUUGAAGCCGAGUGAAACCAAAGAGAGGAAAGCUUGAUUUGAUUCUGGAUUUUAUUUGUAUUGUCUUGAUUGUAUCCAUGAAAACCAAAUUACACAGCUUGAAAUGAUUUGAAAAAUUACAACUGUACAGUACACACACAAAUUUCUACAUUCAUAAUUCAGGCAAAGCAGCACAUCUUAGUGUAUGUGACUAGGUUGUUAUACAUAAAAAUGUCUACUUCAAUAAAAAACACAGUGAACAGAGAAAUAUGAUUUUACCCAAGUAAAAUGAUGGAAGAGAGCAACUACCAAGAAGUACAUCUGGAAGACUAUUUAAUUUAUGUUUACUUGUAUUAAAUGUAUCAACCACUACUUCCACUGUGACCUACAAUUAAAGUCACACCUGUGUUUUUAGUCCACAUCCAGUUCAUCGCUGGGCAAUGAAAACCAUGUACCUCCAAGUUUGGUGAUUUUGAAUUUUGAAAAAAGUUGAUAAACCAUUUAAAGGCCACCCAUUAGAAAAAUGCACUGUCUCAAAGCUUAAAGUAAAGCUGUUUUACUUUGAUCCUGUAAAGUGGGUAGUUUGGAGAUUCAUGGUUUUCCCAGGAGUUUUUACAUCCAAGAUUUGUUGCCAUGAUCUUUCCCAUCCUGCAUGAAGACGUCACACACUAGAAAUGAAAGCGGAACCAUAAAACAGGUUAACCAAGUGCCAUGAGUAAUUCCUACACAGGUUUUGGCAUAUGUCUGGUAAUUCAGUUAAAUUAUUUAAUUAGACCUCAGCCUCAAAGAGAGAGAGCAAAGAGCAAUAAAGCUGAGAGAGGCUCCAAUGUAAUAAACCAUUAGCAGGAGGAGGCAGCCGCUGGUGUGUACAGUAAUGCAGUGUAAAUCAUCACAGAGUGGCUGCCAUUAGGAGGCUUAAUCCUAGCCAGAAACCUGCAGUCAGCUGCUAGGGGCCCUGAUCCGGUGCCGAGUGGAACCAGAUCCGGCAAACAGAGGUGUUUAGGGCCGGGGCAGGAGGAAGAGGAGGAGGAGGAGGAAGGGAACAGGGAGAGUGUAGGGGGAACAGCUGAGGAGAUUCCCAGUGUGUGUGUGUGUGUGUGUGUGUGUGUGUGUGUGUGUGUGUGUGUGUGUGUGUGUGUGUGUGUGUGUGUGUGUGUGUGUUUGUGUGUUUGUGUGUUUGUGUGCCCCCCACAGGUCUCCCUCCUGUAGGAUAAUGGUGGUGAGGAGAAGCAGCAGGAUUCAGCCUCAUCCCUCUUCAUUCUCAGAUAGCCUGUAUUCUUCUGCUAAGUGACACUCCUCUAUCACCCCCCUGAUACACUCACACACAUACACACACAUGCAUAUACACCCUUCCCUCUCUCUCUCUCUCUGCCUCCCAGUUCAAUGACACCUUGGAGAUUCUGGAUGCAAUAACAACGCACACGCAGAGACUGAAGGGGGGAAACAAAACUGGACAAAUUACAGUAAAAGUAUAAGUGCACUGUUAUUUAUUUUAUUUUGAAGGUCCAGUCAUGUCAGUUUUGUUUAUUUAGCCUAAAAUUUUAAAUUAUUAUUAGUCAACACAGAAGGACUUUAUUUGACACCCAUUUCAGUUUAUAUCAAUAAAAUGAAACUAUUUUACAAUUAUCAUUUACACUAAAAACAUCAUAGAAUACACAAGAAACCACUGCUGAAUAAUUGCAGCCAAAAACCAGUUACUGAUAAAUAUAAAAUAAUUACAGAGAGAAUAAAACUACAACACAUUUUUAUUUAAAAGGGGGGAAAAAGUAAAUAUUUUGCAGAAUUAAAACAAAACUGAGUAAAUAAAAGAAAGUUGGAUUGGCUGUGAGGAACAAAUGGAUGAUCAAAUAAAUAUUUGGAAGAUAUUUCUGCAUGGGAGAAGGAAUGCAAAGAAAAAUCUCCAAACCUCAUUUCUAUCUGCUCUCACAAUCCCCACUGUGUGUGUGUGUGUGUGUGUGUGUGUGUGUGUGUGUGUGUGUGUGUGUGUGUCUGUGUCUGUGUCUGAAAGAGAGAGAGAGAGGUAGAAAAUUACAACAUCUAUCUAUCUAUCUGUCUAUCUGUCUGUCUGUCUGUCUGUCUAUUCAUAUACGUUACACAUUUCUUGUUCAUUUGUCUCAUGUUGGCAACCAUCAGAGGAAAAUUGCAAAUUGCUAAAAAAUAAAUACAAAUUCUCUCAAUAAAUCCCAGUAGGCUGCAUAAAGCUGAUUGUAGUAUUUAUGUAUUUUGGAUUUAUUUUAGAGAAAUUUAAACGUUUCGUUUUAAAGGUUUGAAAGACUUCUAAAUACAAAUAAAUAAUAUAAACAUCUUCUUGGGAUUUAAUAGGCUGUAUAAAUAAGUUGUAUGCGGGUCACAUGCGGGGCAGAUGCUGUAAUGGUUGCAGUGUACACAGUUGAUCGCCCCGGCGUGUAGCAGCUUCUUCCCCGGACUCAGCGGUGCCUGGUAUGCUCGCCUGCCCCCGUGCGACGCGUUGCGCGGCCAGCGAGCCGUUCCUGCUCCGCUGCCUGCGGCUCCCACUACCGGCGAGAAGAGAGGAGCUCCGAAAAAACCCGCACACGAGCGGUGAGGACAACUUCACUGUGCGCCAAGAGCAUAUAAAUUCAGCGGCGAAGGGAGGGGGUUUACAUAAGCGAUUUUCUGUUGUCUGCUAUUCCCCUUCGAUAGGGGAAAUGCAGCUCUGCAGCAGAGAGGAGUUCCCAGCAGCAGCUCUGCCGUCCACAUUAUCACCCUGCUUAUUCUGUCCGAGGCUACUCGUCCUGUUGACUCAUCCUCCUGUCUGCGACCUCCACUGGGUUUUGUCUUGAAGACCAUCGACCACAGCAGCCAACUGCAGAGAAGCCACAUGACCCACACAGAAAUGCACUAAAUUAUGUAUAAAUUCAAUUAAACUCAUCUAGAAACCUC